AACUUUAACUGUCACUUUGAAAAAUUGAAGUUGUAGUUUUGACCUAUUCUCAACUUAAAAAAGAUGAGCAUUAAAUGAAGCAGAAAUAGACAACAGAAAACGCUUCAAGUAAAUAAACUUCGCUUUUAGUGAAAUUUUCAAUUUCUGUUAUUUUUCGUCAUUUGUUUCUACAAUAUAUUUUUCUUCAAUUUACUUUUCGACAAAACAUGCAGUUUGGAAAAAAGAUUUCCUCUCUAGUUCCCAGUUUUGCCUUACUUUACCAACAAAUGUGGAACUCAUCAACUCUCUUAAGACCUCAAACUGCUGUGGGCAUCAAUAUUGUGGAUCAGAUUAGAACCAAUGUCAGAAAGCAUUUCUAUCGUCCAAGUGAAAGACUGCGCUUAAAAAAGCAUUCCUACCAGACAAGAUUGAAAACCCCUGGUGGAAGAGCAAUUAUAAUGAGAAGAAUAUUGAAAGGAAGAUUUGUUUUAAGCCAUUAAAUGCAUAAUACAUGUACAUUUCAUAUUAUUAAAUUUUUAGAAUUGAAUUUAAA
Molecule: non-coding RNA, 532 nt
Organism: Parasteatoda tepidariorum (common house spider)
Lineage: Eukaryota; Metazoa; Arthropoda; Arachnida; Araneae; Theridiidae
Source: RefSeq, a predicted model, not a curated record